Molecule: transfer RNA, 76 nt
Filed under: Candidatus Altimarinota bacterium
Lineage: Bacteria; Candidatus Altimarinota
Description: tRNA-Lys
Rfam family: tRNA
About the family: Transfer RNA (tRNA) molecules are approximately 80 nucleotides in length. Their secondary structure includes four short double-helical elements and three loops (D, anti-codon, and T loops).
Source: RNAcentral
GGGUCGAUAGCUCAGUCGGUAGAGCAACAGCCUUUUAAGCUGAUGGUCGUGGGUUCGAGCCCCACUCGACCCACCA